This 460-nucleotide ribosomal RNA is filed under the name uncultured bacterium. Its description in RNAcentral is "partial 16S ribosomal RNA". It matches the Rfam family "Bacterial small subunit ribosomal RNA", at positions 338 to 795 of the family's 1533-position model. The record is from RNAcentral.
CCUACGGGUGGCAGCAGUGAGGAAUAUUGGUCAAUGGGCGUAAGCCUGAACCAGCCAAGUCGCGUGAGGGAUGAAGGUUCUAUGGAUCGUAAACCUCUUUUAUAAGGGAAUAAAGUGCGGGACGUGUCCCGUUUUGUAUGUACCUUAUGAAUAAGGAUCGGCUAACUCCGUGCCAGCAGCCGCGGUAAUACGGAGGAUCCGAGCGUUAUCCGGAUUUAUUGGGUUUAAAGGGUGCGUAGGCGGCCUUUUAAGUCAGCGGUGAAAGUCUGUGGCUCAACCAUAGAAUUGCCGUUGAAACUGGGAGUCUUGAGUAUGUUUGAGGCAGGCGGAAUGCGUGGUGGAGCGGUGAAAUGCUGAGAUAGCACGCAGAACCCCGAUUGAGAGGGAAGCCGGCCAAGCCAUGACUGACGCUGAUGCACGAAAGCGUGGGGAUCAAACAGGAUUAGAUACCCGAGUAGUC